Molecule: ribosomal RNA, 440 nt
Filed under: uncultured bacterium
Lineage: Bacteria
Description: partial 16S ribosomal RNA
Rfam family: Bacterial small subunit ribosomal RNA
Source: RNAcentral
CCUACGGGAGGCAGCAGUGGGGAAUAUUGCACAAUGGGGGAAACCCUGAUGCAGCGACGCCGCGUGAGCGAAGAAGUAUUUCGGUAUGUAAAGCUCUAUCAGCAGGGAGGAAAAUGACGGUACCUGAGUAAGAAGCUCCGUCUAAAUACGUGCCAGCAGCCGCGGUAAUUCGUAUGGAGCAAGCGUUAUCCGGAUUUACUGGGUGUAAAGGGAGUGCAGGCGGCCUUGCAAGUCUGAUGUGAAAUACCCGGGCGCAACCCCGGAGCUGCAUUGGAAACUGUGAGGCUGGAGUGUCGGAGAGGCAGGCGGAAUGCGUGGUGUAGCGGUGAAAUGCGUAGAUAUUAGGAGGAACACCAGUGGCGAAGGCGGCCUGCUGGACGAUGACUGACGCUGAGGCUCGAAAGCGUGGGGAGCAAACAGGAUUAGAUACCCCUGUAGUC